This is a small nucleolar RNA of Ipomoea nil (Japanese morning glory), 131 nucleotides long. NCBI's taxonomy places the organism in Eukaryota, Viridiplantae, Streptophyta, Magnoliopsida, Solanales, Convolvulaceae. The record is from Rfam.
ACCAAUUCUGGGGGAGAAUAAAAGUUCCUCUUGGUAUAAUGGCUCAGACGCAAAAGGGAAGAAGAGUGGCAUAUCCUGAUCAAUGGACUAUUUAACUGUGCUAUUGCAUCCUGGAAACACCACUUACAUAU